Molecule: long non-coding RNA, 345 nt
Organism: Solanum lycopersicum (tomato)
Lineage: Eukaryota; Viridiplantae; Streptophyta; Magnoliopsida; Solanales; Solanaceae
Source: RefSeq, a predicted model, not a curated record
UUUCCUCUUCAAAACCCUUUUUUCAUCGCCGCCACACUUACCUACUCCUUUGGUGGGUGAGGGAUCUUUGAGGUGAAGAGAUUAGGCUAUGGUUGGACGGACCUGGGUUCAUACAACAUCAUUGAGAGUCUCCAAUUUCUUCUAUGCUCAGUGGAAGAAGAAGCGUAUGAGGAGGUUGAAGAGGAAGCGCUGAAAAAUGAGAGAAGGAUUGAAGUAGAAGCACAUUCCGCAGUUCUCAACGGUUUAUCUAUGUUUAUCAUCUUCUUUAGGCUGAUGUUUUUUAUGUUUUUGUUUGAAACAUUCAUCAACAGUUGGGUUUUGAUUUUGUUUUAAUUGUGUACCAAA